Molecule: ribosomal RNA, 1252 nt
Filed under: metagenome
Description: bacterial LSU rRNA
Rfam family: Bacterial large subunit ribosomal RNA
Source: RNAcentral
CCAUACGACCGUACCGCAAACCGACACUGGUGCGCGAGAUGAGUAUUCUAAGGCGCUUGAGAGAACUCAGGAGAAGGAACUCGGCAAAUUGACACCGUAACUUCGGAAGAAGGUGUGCCCUAUUAGUGUGUAGUGAACAACGAAGCAUGAAUGGGUUGCAAAAAAUCGGUGGCUGCGACUGUUUAUUAAAAACACAGCACUCUGCAAACACGAAAGUGGACGUAUAGGGUGUGACGCCUGCCCGGUGCUGGAAGAUUAAAUGAUGGGGUGCAAGCUCUUGAUUGAAGUCCCAGUAAACGGCGGCCGUAACUAUAACGGUCCUAAGGUAGCGAAAUUCCUUGUCGGGUAAGUUCCGACCUGCACGAAUGGCGUAACGAUGGCCACACUGUCUCCUCCUGAGACUCAGCGAAGUUGAAAUGUUUGUGAUGAUGCAAUCUCCCCGCGGAAAGACGGAAAGACCCCAUGAACCUUUACUGUAGCUUUGUAUUGGACUUUGAACAGAUCUGUGUAGGAUAGGUGGGAGGCUUUGAAGCAGGGUCGCUAGAUCUUGUGGAGCCAACGUUGAAAUACCACCCUGGUGUGUUUGAGGUUCUAACCUAGGUCCAUUAUCUGGAUCGGGGACAGUGCAUGGUAGGCAGUUUGACUGGGGCGGUCUCCUCCCAAAGCGUAACGGAGGAGUUCGAAGGUACGCUAGUUACGGUCGGACAUCGUGACGAUAGUGCAAUGGCAUAAGCGUGCUUAACUGCGAGACUGACAAGUCGAGCAGAUGCGAAAGCAGGACAUAGUGAUCCGGUGGUUCUGUAUGGAAGGGCCAUCGCUCAACGGAUAAAAGGUACUCUGGGGAUAACAGGCUGAUACCGCCCAAGAGUUCAUAUCGACGGCGGUGUUUGGCACCUCGAUGUCGGCUCAUCUCAUCCUGGGGCUGUAGCCGGUCCCAAGGGUAUGGCUGUUCGCCAUUUAAAGAGGUACGUGAGCUGGGUUUAAAACGUCGUGAGACAGUUUGGUCCCUAUCUUCCGUGGGCGCUGCAGAUUUGAGGAAGCCUGCUCCUAGUACGAGAGGACCGGAGUGGACACACCUCUGGUGUAUCGGUUGUCACGCCAGUGGCAUUGCCGAGUAGCUAAGUGUGGAAGAGAUAACCGCUGAAAGCAUCUAAGCGGGAAACUCGUUUCAAGAUGAGAUCUGCCGGGGCCUUGAGCCCCCUAAAGAGUCGUUCAAGACCAGGACGUUGAUAGGUCAGGUGUGGAAGCGAAG